UACGGAGGGUGCAAGCGUUGUCCGGAAUCACUGGGCGUAAAGGGCGCGUAGGCGGCCUGAUAAGUAGGGGGUGAAAUCUUGCGGCUCAACCGCAAGGCUGCCUCCUAAACUGUCGGGCUAGAGCACGGUAGAGGCAGAUGGAAUUCCCGGUGUAGCGGUGGAAUGCGUAGAGAUCGGGAAGAACAUCGGUGGCGAAGGCGGUCUGCUGGGCCGUUGCUGACGCUGAGGCGCGACAGCGUGGGGAGCAAACAGG
Molecule: ribosomal RNA, 253 nt
Filed under: uncultured bacterium
Lineage: Bacteria
Description: partial 16S ribosomal RNA
Rfam family: Bacterial small subunit ribosomal RNA
Source: RNAcentral